This 255-nucleotide ribosomal RNA is filed under the name uncultured bacterium. RNAcentral describes it as "partial 16S ribosomal RNA". It matches the Rfam family "Bacterial small subunit ribosomal RNA", at positions 524 to 776 of the family's 1533-position model. The record is from RNAcentral.
UACGAAGGGGGCUAGCGUUGCUCGGAAAUCACUGGGCGUAAAGGGUGCGUAGGCGGGUCUUUUAAGUCAGGGGUGAAAUCCUGGAGCUCAACUCCAGAACUGCCUUUGAUACUGAAGAUCUUGAGUUCGGGAGAGGUGAGUGGAACUGCGAGUGUAGAGGUGAAAUUCGUAGAUAUUCGCAAGAACACCAGUGGCGAAGGCGGCUCACUGGCCCGAUACUGACGCUGAUGCACGAAAGCGUGGGGAGCAAACAGG